UACGUAGGUGGCGAGCGUUGUCCGGAUUUACUGGGCGUAAAGGGCGUGCAGGCGGUCUGCUAAGUCUAGGGUGAAAGCUCCCGGCUCAACUGGGAGAGGUCCUUGGAUACUGACAGACUUGAGGGAGGCAGAGGAGAAUGGAAUUCCCGGUGUAGUGGUGAUAUGCGUAGAUAUCGGGAGGAACACCAAUGGCGAAAGCAGCUUUCUGGGACGGUACUGACGCUGAGACGCGAAAGCGUGGGGAGCGAACAGG
This 253-nucleotide ribosomal RNA is filed under the name uncultured bacterium. RNAcentral describes it as "partial 16S ribosomal RNA". It matches the Rfam family "Bacterial small subunit ribosomal RNA", at positions 524 to 776 of the family's 1533-position model. The record is from RNAcentral.